This 366-nucleotide ribosomal RNA is filed under the name uncultured Glomeromycotina. RNAcentral's name for it is "LSU rRNA". The record is from RNAcentral. Lineage: Eukaryota; Fungi; Glomeromycota.
UUGAAAGGGAAACGAUUGAAGUCAGUCGUACCGACGAGAAAUCAGCUUUUCGAAUGUGCAUUUGUGGGCGUAUGAGAUCUUCAUUGUUUGCAAUAUGUAUGUUUCUUUGGUGUACUUUUUCGUAUGGUAGGUCAACGUCGGUUUUGGUCGCCAUAAAAUGAUCGGAGGAAUGUAGCUUCGACCUCGGUUGAAGUGUUAUAGCCUUUGGUAAAUGUGGUGAUUAAGACCGAGGAUUGCAACGAAUACCUUUUAGGCUAUCCGUCUGACCUCUGAAGGUUACUUAGGUGCCGAAAGCUUGCUUACGGUCAUUUAAGUUGACGGUCAAUAGGUUAGAACGUGAUUACAUUCGUUAAGGAUGUUGACGUA